Hibiscus syriacus is the source of this 175-nucleotide long non-coding RNA. RefSeq lists it as uncharacterized. The record is from RefSeq and is a predicted model, not a curated record. Lineage: Eukaryota; Viridiplantae; Streptophyta; Magnoliopsida; Malvales; Malvaceae. The transcript is spliced from 3 exons.
UAUAUAUAUAUUUAAAAACAAAAGCAAAUUUUUAAUUUUUUUAAAAAAACAGCUGAUCAAUUGUAGUAGUAAUCGACUGGAAUUAUAGAAUGGUUGUGGUUAUCAUCUUCCCUUGUUGGCGCUCACUGACCUGACCAAUCCAACCAAAAACCCUAAAAUUUGCAGAAGAAUAUCC